AACGAACGCUGGCGGCAUGCCUAACACAUGCAAGUCGAACGAGACCUCCGGGUCUACUUGCGCACGGGUGCGUAACGCGGGGGAACCUGCCAUGAGGUUCGGAAGAAUGCCUCGACAGGGGUGCUAAUACCGGUAAACGUCUUCGGACCAAAGGUGUAACGUCUUUGGAGGGGCCCGCGCUGGCUUAACUAGUUGGGAGGGUAAAAGCCUACCAAGGGCAUGCUCCAUAGCUGGUCUGUGAGGAAGGACAGCCACACUUGGGCUGGGAUCCGGCCCCGACUCCUGCGGGAGGGCGGAAUGGGGGAUAUUGGAAAAUGGGGGGAAGCCUGAACGCGCAAUGGCGGGUGAGUGUUGAAGGCCUUAGGGUUGUAAAGCUCUUUUACACGGGAUGAUAAUGACAGUACCGGACGAAUAAGCUCCGGCUAACUCCGUG
RNAcentral lists this ribosomal RNA (433 nucleotides) under uncultured bacterium. RNAcentral's name for it is "partial 16S ribosomal RNA". It matches the Rfam family "Bacterial small subunit ribosomal RNA", at positions 29 to 507 of the family's 1533-position model. The record is from RNAcentral.